This 798-nucleotide small RNA is filed under the name Pongo abelii (Sumatran orangutan). Its description in RNAcentral is "retained intron". Lineage: Eukaryota; Metazoa; Chordata; Mammalia; Primates; Hominidae. The record is from RNAcentral.
CACUUGUGAAGCAUUCCCUAACCAUCUCCCUAUACCACAAGCAAAGUUAGUUGUUUCUUUUUCUGGGUUUUAAUAAUCCUUUGUUCUUAUUUCAUAUAUAGCAUUUAUUUCAUUUUAUAAUUGUAUUUGUUAUAUACUUGGCAGCAGUAUUUGCUGAGGAAAAGGAAUGGUUCAGAGAUGGCAAUUGUGUUCUUUUAUUUUGAAAAUUUGGCCAACUAGGAACAACUUUAAUGUCUUCUGAUUUUGUUCUUAAAAUUCAGCCAAAAGCUUAAUCUAUAAAUGUAUUUUCUAUAGGAGAAAAUAUGGAGAAGUCUUGUGCAAGCAAGGAAGAAGUCAAAGAAGUCAGUAUUGAAGAUACAGGUGUUGAUGUAGAUCCAGAAAAACUGGAAAUGGAGAGUAAACAUCAUAGAAAUUUGCUAUUUCAAGAUUGUGAAAAAGAGCAAGACAACAAAACAAAAGAUCCAACCCAUGAUGUUAAAACCCCCAAUACAGAAACGAGGACAAGUUGCUUAAUUAAGUAUAAUGUGUCUACUACGCCAUACUUGCAAAGUGUGAAAAAGAAGGUGCAGUUUGAUGAAACAAAUUCCGCAUUUAAAGAGCUGAAGUUUUUAACACCAGUGAGACGUUCUCGACGUCUUCAAGAGAAAACUUCUAAAUUGCCAGAUAUGUUAAAAGAUCAUUAUCCUUGUGUGUCUUCAUUGGAACAGCUAACAGAGUUGGGAAGAGAAACUGAUGCUUUUGUAUGCCGCCCUAAUGCAGCACUGUGCCGGGUGUACUAUGAGGCUGAUACAACAUAAG